RNAcentral lists this ribosomal RNA (468 nucleotides) under uncultured bacterium. Its description in RNAcentral is "partial 16S ribosomal RNA". It matches the Rfam family "Bacterial small subunit ribosomal RNA", at positions 28 to 507 of the family's 1533-position model. The record is from RNAcentral.
GACGAACGCUGGCGGCGUGCUUAACACAUGCAAGUCGAACGGAAAGGCCCUGCUUUUGUGGGGUGCUCGAGUGGCGAACGGGUGAGUAACACGUGAGUAACCUGCCCUUGACUUUGGGAUAACUUCAGGAAACUGGGGCUAAUACCGGAUAGGAGCUCCUGCUGCAUGGUGGGGGUUGGAACGUUUCGGCGGUUGGGGAUGGACUCGCGGCUUACAAGCUUGUUGGUGGGGUAGUGGCUUACCAAGGCUUUGACGGGUAGCCGGCCUGAGAGGGUGACCGGCCACAUUGGGACUGAGAUACGGCCCAGACUCCUACGGGAGGCAGCAGUGGGGAAUAUUGCACAAUGGGCGGAAGCCUGAUGCAGCAACGCCGCGUGCGGGAUGACGGCCUUCGGGUUGUAAACCGCUUUCGCCUGUGACGAAGCGUGAGUGACGGUAAUGGGUAAAGAAGCACCGGCUAACUACGUG